CAGAUUAUGCUUAGGGCUAUCUAUUGUUUACAUUAAUAGUAUAUUUGUGCGAUUCAAAUUAAUCUGA
This 67-nucleotide transfer RNA is filed under the name Megacopta horvathi. Its description in RNAcentral is "tRNA-Val". The record is from RNAcentral. Lineage: Eukaryota; Metazoa; Arthropoda; Insecta; Hemiptera; Plataspidae.